Panicum virgatum (switchgrass) is the source of this 684-nucleotide long non-coding RNA. RefSeq lists it as uncharacterized. The transcript is spliced from 2 exons. Lineage: Eukaryota; Viridiplantae; Streptophyta; Magnoliopsida; Poales; Poaceae. The record is from RefSeq and is a predicted model, not a curated record.
CUCGGUGUUCCUCUGAGACGACGACUUCCCCCUGGAGCCAAGUCGCCCUCUCGCGGACUCGCCAAAACCUAACCGUUGGCUGCUGGCGGGCGGCGGGCGGCCGACGGGCGAGGGAGCGAGGGGCAUGACCACGCAACCGGCGAGGAGGCGUGGCGGCCAACCGCUCGGGCACACGGCGGGCAUCGGCGUCUUGAGCGUAUGGCGCGAGCGCUGUAGGUGCUGCGCGGUUUCCCGGCCGCUCGGGCACGCUGCGCGGCGGCCAGCGGCAAACGCCACCAUGCACUGUGGCAGACAGCAGUUCAGCACGCAAGACAUGCGGGCGGAUGGCAGAGGCGGCAAGUCAGCAAGCAAACAGGUCAAUUUGAUUCCACCUUCCCCAAUCGGCUCAUCUUGCACUACAUAUUCAUUUUUUCUGUCAAAAUUGGAGAAAUUGACUUAUGAGAUUAUUUAAGCCCCAUUAUGUAGACUAGAUCUGCAUGCCUCCACUGCCUUCACAUGGUGCAGGCUCAGGUUAACUUCCUACAGAUGAUGAUGAUAUAAUAGAUUGAUAGGCGGGAAUGAACAGACUUGGCACUUGUUAGGUAUUUUUUUUUUAGUUUUUCAAGUUUUCAUUGAGUUUGUUGUACAAUUAGACUUGGAAAAUUGGAGAUAUAAUCUAAAAGUCUGGGGUGAUUUUCUGCUAAA